RNAcentral lists this long non-coding RNA (438 nucleotides) under Accipiter nisus (Eurasian sparrowhawk). Its description in RNAcentral is "lncRNA (ENSANIG00000005790.1)". Lineage: Eukaryota; Metazoa; Chordata; Aves; Accipitriformes; Accipitridae. The record is from RNAcentral.
UGGUGCUCAUCCCACUGGUGCCAGGGCAGAAGCCUUGGUUCUUCUGCUCUGCAGCUAAGACAUCUCCUGCCCCAAUUUUUCCACUCCUUUUAGGAAAUGGAGAGAGCUCGCCAGCGAGAAGAGGAGAGUAGGAGAGAUUUGGAAAGGUGGAAAGAGGAGGAGAGGACAAAGCUGCAUGAAGAGAUAGAUGGUCUGAGGCAGCUCUUCCUUGCAGCGUUCAAGGAUGUGUCCAGCAGGAGCAUUGCCAUGGAGGGGUUGAAGAAAGACAACAAGACACUCCGUACCACGCCAUCCCAGGACCAGGGGGCAGUUAUGGACCGUGCCCCUCAGCAGAUGGAUGCCCUCAGCACCCAUCUUGGGGAGCAGCCCAAGGUCACAAACUCCCAGGAGAAAGCGGCAAGUGAAAUAAAAAAGAAAAGAGGCCUCGGUUCAUCAAGA